Molecule: ribosomal RNA, 519 nt
Filed under: uncultured eukaryote
Lineage: Eukaryota
Description: SSU rRNA
Rfam family: Eukaryotic small subunit ribosomal RNA
Source: RNAcentral
AGGGCACCACCAGGAGUGGAGCCUGCGGCUUAAUUUGACUCAACACGGGGAAACUUACCCGGCCUGGACACUGGAAGGAUUGACAGAUUGAGAGCUCUUUCUUGAUUCAGUGGGUGGUGGUGCAUGGCCGUUCUUAGUUGGUGGAGCGAUUUGUCUGGUUAAUUCCGAUAACGAACGAGACUCUAGCCUAUUAAAUAGGCUCCCGGCUUUUAAACGCCGGGAGGACUUCUUAGAGGAACAGGUGGCGGUUCAGCCGCACGAAAGAGAGCAAUAACAGGUCUGUGAUGCCCUUUGUUGUCCGGGGCCGCACGCGCGCUACACUGAAGAGAUCAGCGUGCUUUACGUUCCUGCUCCGACCGGAGUGGGGAACCCAGUGAACCUUCUUCGUGAUUGGGAUAGAAGAUUGUAAUUAUUCUUCUUGAACGAGGAAUUCCCAGUAAAUGCGAGUCAUAAGCUCGCGUUGAUUACGUCCCUGCCCUUUGUACACACCGCCCGUCGCUACUACCGAUUGAACGAUUU